Molecule: ribosomal RNA, 253 nt
Filed under: uncultured bacterium
Lineage: Bacteria
Description: partial 16S ribosomal RNA
Rfam family: Bacterial small subunit ribosomal RNA
Source: RNAcentral
UACGGGGGGGGUAAGCGUUGUUCGGAAUUACUGGGCGUAAAGGGCUCGUAGGCGGCCAACUAAGUCAUACGUAAAAUCCCUCAGCUUAACUGGGGAACUGCGUGUGAUACUGGAUGGCUUGGAUUUGGGAGAGGGAUGCGGAAUUCCAGGUGUAGCGGUGAAAUGCGUAGAUAUCUGGAGGAACACCGGUGGCGAAGGCGGCAUCCUGGACCAAUAUUGACACUGAGGAGCGAAAGCCAGGGGAGCAAACGGG